AGAGCUGUGCCCGAGAGCCCAGGGAUCACUUUGAUAGAGUGACAAACGAGGGUUAAAGUCCCCCCAGCUCUU
RNAcentral lists this transfer RNA (72 nucleotides) under Hyphessobrycon amapaensis. Its description in RNAcentral is "tRNA-Ile". It matches the Rfam family "tRNA". Rfam says of the family: Transfer RNA (tRNA) molecules are approximately 80 nucleotides in length. Their secondary structure includes four short double-helical elements and three loops (D, anti-codon, and T loops). The record is from RNAcentral. Lineage: Eukaryota; Metazoa; Chordata; Actinopteri; Characiformes; Acestrorhamphidae.